ACGAACGCUGGCGGCGUGCCUAAUACAUGCAAGUUGAGCGCUGAAGGUUGGUACUUGUACCAACUGGAUGAGCAGCGAACGGGUGAGUAACGCGUGGGGAAUCUGCCUUUGAGCGGGGGACAACAUUUGGAAACGAAUGCUAAUACCGCAUAAAAACUUUAAACACAAGUUUUAAGUUUGAAAGAUGCAAUUGCAUCACUCAAAGAUGAUCCCGCGUUGUAUUAGCUAGUUGGUGAGGUAAAGGCUCACCAAGGCGAUGAUACAUAGCCGACCUGAGAGGGUGAUCGGCCACAUUGGGACUGAGACACGGCCCAAACUCCUACGGGAGGCAGCAGUAGGGAAUCUUCGGCAAUGGACGAAAGUCUGACCGAGCAACGCCGCGUGAGUGAAGAAGGUUUUCGGAUCGUAAAACUCUGUUGGUAGAGAAGAACGUUGGUGAGAGUGGAAAGCUCAUCAAGUGACGGUAACUACCCAGAAAGGGACGGCUAACUACGU
This 495-nucleotide ribosomal RNA is filed under the name uncultured bacterium. Its description in RNAcentral is "partial 16S ribosomal RNA". It matches the Rfam family "Bacterial small subunit ribosomal RNA", at positions 29 to 506 of the family's 1533-position model. The record is from RNAcentral.